GAGAGAGACCUGAUGGUUAUGAUUACUGCUAACUCUCAAACCUCUGGUUUAAUUCCGGAGCUCACUCG
This 68-nucleotide transfer RNA is filed under the name Symphurus orientalis (pygmy tongue-sole). Its description in RNAcentral is "tRNA-Ser". Lineage: Eukaryota; Metazoa; Chordata; Actinopteri; Pleuronectiformes; Cynoglossidae. The record is from RNAcentral.